Molecule: non-coding RNA, 210 nt
Filed under: Flammeovirgaceae bacterium 311
Lineage: Bacteria; Pseudomonadati; Bacteroidota; Cytophagia; Cytophagales; Flammeovirgaceae
Also listed under: 1 other name
Source: RNAcentral
AUCUUUGCGCCAGAUUAUGGUUCUGGCAGGGCAUUCGCCCUUCGCCGGAUGAAAAGGGAAUCCCGUGCAAAUCGGGAGCUGUCCCCGCAACUGUAAGCGUUAUUAAACCUGCUGCCAAAACCACAGGCCACUGUUCCGGAGCAAUCUGAAAUGGGAAGGCCGUGCAGCAGGAACGCAAGCCAGGAGACCUGCCAUGAUUCUAAACUUCAA